Molecule: long non-coding RNA, 322 nt
Organism: Vollenhovia emeryi
Lineage: Eukaryota; Metazoa; Arthropoda; Insecta; Hymenoptera; Formicidae
Exons: 3
Source: RefSeq, a predicted model, not a curated record
UAUAAAACGUCUGCGGAUUGAUGCCACCUGCAAUAACAACGUUACAGCGUAAAAGUUAGUUAUCAACUCGAUAACGUAUGUAUUAUCCGGAAAAACUUCAUAAGUUAUAACAGUAGUAAGUUAUUAAAAUUUUAUCUGAAAAAGGGCCAAUGCGAAGAUUGUAUUUUGUUUAAAAAUAGUGACGCUACGAUCUUGUUCACGUGCUACAGUGCUACGAUAUUCUUUACAUAAUUUUCGAAAAAAUGGCGCCAAAUAUAACACCAACAGGAGUAUUAUUUGAGGGUGAUAUUGUUGCCGAGUCGCAAAUGAUCGAGGAGCCCAA